GACGAACGCUGGCGGCGUGCUUAACACAUGCAAGUCGAACGGAAAGGCCCUGCUUUUGUGGGGUGCUCGAGUGGCGAACGGGUGAGUAACACGUGAGUAACCUGCCCUUGACUUUGGGAUAACUUCAGGAAACUGGGGCUAAUACCGGAUAGGAGCUCCUGCUGCAUGGUGGGGGUUGGAAAGUUUCGGCGGUUGGGGAUGGACUCGCGGCUUAUCAGCUUGUUGGUGGGGUAGUGGCUUACCAAGGCUUUGACGGGUAGCCGGCCUGAGAGGGUGACCGGCCACAGUGGGACUGAGAUACGGACAAGACUCAUACGGGAAGCAGAAGUGGGGAAGAUUGAAAAAUGGACGGAAGCCUGAUGCAGCAACGCCGAGUGCGGGAUGACGGCCUUCGGGUUGUAAACCGCUUUCGCCUGUGACGAAGCGUGAGUGAAGGUAAUGGGUAAAGAAGCACCGGCUAAAUACGUG
RNAcentral lists this ribosomal RNA (468 nucleotides) under uncultured bacterium. RNAcentral describes it as "partial 16S ribosomal RNA". It matches the Rfam family "Bacterial small subunit ribosomal RNA", at positions 28 to 507 of the family's 1533-position model. The record is from RNAcentral.